UGCGAAAUUGCGAAAUCAACAAUGAAAAUGGCGAAACGAAACUUGUGAAUCGUGCAUUUGCUCUUCAUGGUAGCUGCCAAAAAAUCGAAUCAAACUUAUGGGACACUGGAUUACAGGUUGCUGCCACUACUCCAUGUGCCCGCAAUUGUCUUGCGUGUAUGAUUACACUAACGGCGUCGCCCACCACGGCGGAAGUGUUUUGCGUACACGCGUUUCAGCAUGAAGCCUGCAGGUGGACGUAAAUUGUAGAAGGCAGCUAGUGGGGGAGAAGAUCAUGGUCAUAGGUCAUGUGACUCCUGGAGCUCCCUUGUGGAGUACUUUUCAGAACACACACACAUACAGUUUGCUCACAGAACCAACGAGUAGGAUGUUGCUUGAAUACUGAGAGAAAAUGGCGUAACACAUACAAAUAUCGUGUGACACAUAUGACAAUAAAAACAUUUUUCACAAGGGAUGCAUGAGACACUGUCGCAAUAUUGUGUGCAUGAACCAUUGUGUGUGACACAA
Ornithodoros turicata is the source of this 507-nucleotide long non-coding RNA. RefSeq lists it as uncharacterized. Lineage: Eukaryota; Metazoa; Arthropoda; Arachnida; Ixodida; Argasidae. The transcript is spliced from 3 exons. The record is from RefSeq and is a predicted model, not a curated record.